GCCCCUCAUUGUGCGGCUCGUACUAAACGGAAGGGGCCGGGAGAGGCCGCGUUCAGUCGGGUCCCGGCAGCAGCUGCGGCGCCUCUUGUCUUCUUCAUCUCUUUUUGCAGUCUCUCUUUCGCUUCCGGAAACAUGGCCUCUGGUGUGGCUGUCUCUGAUGGUGUCAUCAAGGUAUUCAAUGACAUGAAGGUGUGCAAGUCCUCAACACCAGAGGAAGUGAAGAAGUGCAAGAAGGCGGUGCUUUUUUGCCUGAGUGAGGAUGAGAAGAACAUCAUCCUGGAGGAGGGCAAGGAGAUUCUGGUGGGGGAUGUGGGCCAGACUGUGGACGACCCCUAUGCUACCUUUGUCAAGAUGCUGCCAGACAAGGACUGUCGCUAUGCCCUCUAUGAUGCAACCUAUGAGACCAAGGAGAGCAAGAAGGAAGAUCUGGUGUUUAUCUUUUGGGCCCCUGAGUGUGCACCCCUUAAGAGCAAAAUGAUCUAUGCCAGUUCCAAGGAUGCCAUCAAAAAGAAGCUGACAGGGAUCAAGCACGAAUUACAGGCAAAUUACUACGAAGAGGUCAAGGACCGCUGCACACUGGCAGAGAAGCUGGGCGGCAGUGCCGUCAUCUCUCUGGAGGGCAAGCCUUUGUGAGCCCCUCCAGUCCCUGCCUGGAGCAUCUGGCAGCCCUGGACCUGCCCUCAAGGGGUUGUAGGCUGCCCCCUUUCUGCCAGACCGAAGGGGCUGGGGGGGAUCCCAGCAGGGGGAGGGCAAUCCUUUCACCCCAGUUGCCAAACAGCCCCCCUACCCCCUGGACCUUCCUCCUGCCUCCAUCCCUGACGGUUCCGGCCUGCCCAAACUGCUUUUGAUCUUCUGAUUCCUAUUGGGUUGAAGCAGACCAAGUUCCCCUCAGGCAGCCAGCUUUGGGGGGGGGGGCUGUUUUUUUUUUUUGUUUUUUUUUUAACGACAUCCACACUCCCCACCUAUUCCUUCCCGCUCCCAUGCUGCCAACUUCUAACCGAAAUAGUGACUCUGUGCUUGUCUAUUUAGUUCUGUGUAUAAAUGGAAUGUUG
RNA transcript from Octodon degus (degu), 1052 nucleotides. It is a transcript of the gene named cofilin-1 pseudogene, with no coding region annotated. The record is from RefSeq and is a predicted model, not a curated record. The transcript has a single exon. Lineage: Eukaryota; Metazoa; Chordata; Mammalia; Rodentia; Octodontidae.